UUGGGAAUUUUGGACAAUGGGGGAAACCCUGAUCCAGCAAUCCCGCGUGAGUGAUGAAGGCCUUCGGGUCGUAAAGCUCUUUUAGCAGAGACGAAGGGAAACUUGACUGUAUCUGCAGAAAAAGCACCGGCUAACUCCGUGCCAGCAGCCGCGGUAAUACGGAGGGUGCAAGCGUUGUUCGGAAUCAUUGGGCGUAAAGCGCGUGUAGGCGGUUUCUUAAGUCUGGUGUGAAAGCCUGGGGCUCAACCCUAGAAGUGCACUGGAUACUGGGAAACUCGAGGACGAGAGAGGAGAGUGGAAUUCCUGGUGUAGGGGUGAAAUCCGUAGAUAUCAGGAGGAACAUCAGAGGCGAAGGCGGCUCUCUGGCUCGUAUCUGACGCUGAGACGCGAAAGCGUGGGGAGCAAACAGG
Molecule: ribosomal RNA, 410 nt
Filed under: uncultured bacterium
Lineage: Bacteria
Description: bacterial SSU rRNA
Rfam family: Bacterial small subunit ribosomal RNA
Source: RNAcentral